Molecule: transfer RNA, 72 nt
Filed under: Phytophthora infestans (potato late blight agent)
Lineage: Eukaryota; Oomycota; Peronosporomycetes; Peronosporales; Peronosporaceae
Description: tRNA-Pro
Source: RNAcentral
GGCCUUGUGGUCUAGUGGUAUGAUUCUCGCUCAGGGUGCGAGAGGUCCCAGAUUCGAUCUCCGGCAAGGCCC